This is a non-coding RNA of Callithrix jacchus (white-tufted-ear marmoset), 2230 nucleotides long. The record is from RefSeq and is a predicted model, not a curated record. NCBI's taxonomy places the organism in Eukaryota, Metazoa, Chordata, Mammalia, Primates, Cebidae.
CUGGCUCCGUGCCGGGGCUCGGGACGCCGGGAGACCUUAUCGGGAGCUACGGGCCCGCAGAGACGGGAGAUCGCUCCAAAAAACAUCAGGGAAGAGGGGAGGACAAGGGAACCCACUAAGAGGGAACCCACUGAGGGCUCCGCCCGCACCCCUUGGCGGCGACUCCGAGCUUCUCGCUACUCACGUCGCAUCCCGGCCUCGUGUGGAUUCGCUCAUUCGCUCUGCUAAAAUGAAAUGACCGCGCAGCCGCUUACUAGUGGUUGUGUAAGAUUUGCCCUCGGCGUCUUUUUUCUUAAACGUGGGUAAACCCUAGAGUGCUUAUGGGUAUCAAAUGUUUGGCGCAGUCACUAUUCCAAUGCUAGCUUUUCUUAAAAAAAAAAAAAAAAAAAAAAUCUGUUUUGAGUACCCUGUCCGGUUCUGUGCUCGGCGAUGAGUAUAUACGGCGACGACCGAAUGAGACCAGGUUCCUCAGAGCCCACGGUCCACCGGGAGAGACGUAAGCGCACAUCCACAGGGCCAUGGGAUGUGCCCACGGGGAGGUAAAGUUAGCAAGAGAAGUCAAGAAAGCGACCUGUGAGCAGCCUGCCCCUCCAGAUGACCGGAAAAGUGUGCCAAGAGGAGGGAACAGCAAAGACACAAAUCCUGAAAGUCGAAGGAAUAAAAGGGAGCCAGUGUGGCUGGAACCGAGUGAAGGUAGAGGAGAAAUAGACAAGGAUGUAUGAGGAGGUUAGGGAGGGAAUGCCUACUACUGUUUAGGAUGUUGACCUAACAAUGUAGAAUGAUACGGAUAUCGGAGCCUGGAGAGAGAAAUUCGGGAGUCAUCAGUGUUUGGAGACUGGAUGAGAUCACAAAGAGACUGGGACACAUCCCUUUAGCAGUCACGACAUGAGAAGCAACCAGCAAAGGAGACAGGAGUGGCCAGGGAAAUGGCAGAAGAUCCCUUUUGCCCGUCCCAGUCUCCCUGCCCCACUAAGCCCCCUGUCCAGGGGCUUCCCAGAGCUGACUGGAGCCCAGCCCCAAAUCCAGCCUGGAUUGUGGGCGAACAGAGUCGGAGAUCCUGAACACAAACUGCGAGUUAGCUAUCAACAGGUACCUCCAGUGCCCUGUCAAUCACCCACGUGAGGACAACCUGGAAGCAGGAAAGAGAGAAAACAGAGCUUCCUUAAUCUCCCGGAAUCCUCACUUCUCCCCUUCUUGUUGGUCCAGAUCGUCAAGAUCUCUGGCCUGGGUGACGCCUCCUAAUUCUUGCUGCCUUCUCUCACUAGUCAAAACCAUCCAUUGGCUUCCCAGUGCCCUUAGCAUUAAAUCCAAGCUUGGUGACCCCUGCUGCCGCCCCAGCAAAAAAAAAAUCUCUUUGCCAUCCUUCCUGUUCUGUACCUAGUUAAUGCCUUCCCAUCCCUCAGAACCCAUCAGGACACACGUGAGUGUGAAUGCCCCGGAUUGCAUAAGCAUGGAGGUAUGCCAGGGUGUACUCCAGAGUGAGCAAAAUGGGAACCCAGUCAGAAAGUGACAUGAAAAUGUAGGCUGAAAUUCUGUCAGUUAAUACUGCAACAAAACUCUCUGAAACCAUCUCAUUUACCCAGUCGACCAACUUGAAAGACACUUUCCUUUUCAUCUGUGAAGCCCGCUGCUGGGGCUAGCAGGCUGUUAUGACUAAGCACUUCCACUUCCGUCUCAAACUGCUUACUUCCUGAAAGGUGGCUGUCUGAUCCUAACGUGUUUACGCCAGAAGUUCUUAAUAGUUUACUACCAAACUAAUGAAAUGAAUGCAAGACAGUUGUUUAUAUACAAACCAGACUGCUUGCAUUGGAAAGAUUAAAAGUGGGUUGGUUGUUAAAAACAUGCCGGGCGUAGUGGCUCACUACAGGCUCAAAGGGCCUGUAAAUCCCGCACUUUGGGAAGCCGAGGCGGACAGGUCACUUGAGGUCAGUAGUUCAGGAGCACUCUGGCCAACAUGGAGAAACACCACCUCAAAUACAAAAAUUAGCGGGCAUGGUGGGUGGCAUGUGCCUGUAGUUCCAGCUACUCAGGAGGCUGAGGCAGGAUAAUCACUUGAACCUGGGCAGGGGGUGGGGGGACGCCGAGUUGCAGUGAGCUGACAUUUUGCCACCGCACUCCAGCCUGGGCAACAGAGCAAGUUGACUCCAUCUCUUAAAAAAAAAAAAGCUGCCAAGUUAGGUACAUGCAAAGCAACUGUAAAUUAUUUAAUGAAAAUGCUCAUAAGAACCUA